CAUUGAAGAUGUGUUAGGCAGGGGAGGGUUAACAGUUUAAAUCCCUGUGUAGGAUGUCCAACACUUACAUGAACAGUAUCAUCUGUUCUAUCUAUCUUCUAUCUACAUCUACUGUCAUCACUACACUGAUGAUGAACAGCCAACCCUGGCAGGAGCCACGUAAUAUUUCGGUCAAUGACAGACCCUAUAUACGACGUGGUCCCGUAAGUCACACUGGCACAUUUCAAGUACUCAACAGCCACAUGUGGUAAGUACUCAACAGUGGUGCAGACGUGGAACAUUUCCAUCACUGUGCAGCUAUUGGACAUCUAUUCCAAGGAGCCUACCUUCUCUUUGGCCAGGUGACUUUAGUGGUUCCACCCCAAGGUCCUCUUGAUACUGAGUACGCUGAUCUCAUGCUUGCCACCAGCUUUUCUAUUUCUCUCUUCACACGUGCGGUACAUGGCACAAAAAGUUCAUCAACUCCAAAGUUAAACUCUUCCACCAGCUUUGUGUUUUCAAGCCCAGAAAUGCAGAAAAACUAGAUUCCAAACAUGAUCCUGAAUAAAUGGAAUAAUGACUCACAAAUGCUGCUCAUUUGCUUUGCAGUAAACAUAUAUAUUACUGCAAAAUUUUCCAAAGUUAUAAUUAUAUAAUCAAACCUAGUUCCAAAACCUCCUUAGAAAUCUAACAAAAAGCUAACUUUAGUGAGAAAAUACUUCUUAUAAAGUUCGAAAUGCAUAUUAACUGUGAGUAAAGGAAAAAUAAAGCCUAAAAUCACAAAAUACAAAGACCUGAUAAGACUAGAUUUUCUGAGACAGAAAUCUUGUCCUUAACAGCUGCAUCAAAUUGAGAAAAUGAAGAUGCAUUCUAUAACUAAUUUGCUACAUGUAUAGAUGGGUAUGGACUAAAAUGUUUGAUAUCAAUCACAAUGAUGUUAGCGUCUACCUUUUCACGUUUCCACCUCCAUGUAUUCAAUAGCUCAGAUGUAACUGUUGACUAUGUCAAGAUUCACUAAAAGUUUGUACUUGAAAAUUUGAAGCAGUUGCUCAUUUCGCUAGUGUUCCAAAAACAAAGCAACUGUGCUUUUAGUUCAAAACUGUCGCCAAGAAUAUUGAAUAAUUAAUAAAAUUUUAAACAGAAGAACUAUGUGAACUUCAGAUCAACUCUUCAUAAAGCAAAGCCAAUAAUCUUGAAUUUAAUACACUAGUUUUCACAUAAUUCACUGUCCAAAUAGUAAAAGGUUGACAUGGCUCAUAAUUGCUAGGCAGGGUUUCAGAAGUUGAUGAAUGGCUCUAAAAAUAUUGCAUAUCUGCAGGGGAAGGGGAACUAAUGGGGGGGGACUCCUACUUUUCCUUGACUUUUGAUUUAAAUAAAUCCUGAUCCCAAAGCAGCAUUGGAGAAUCAUCAUUAAUCAGUUCACUUGUUUCUUUUUCAACUCUAUUCACAGACAUUGAAGACUUUUAACUCUAAUUUCCCCAAUAUCACCACAGGUCUAACAAUGAUCUCAAAAGCUUACAAAAAUUAGAAUUCCUUCUCCUACUAUAGUCACAUACUGUACAUAAAGAAAGAUAAGAAAAAGAAAAUAUGAAAAACU
This is a non-coding RNA of Equus caballus (horse), 1576 nucleotides long. The record is from RefSeq and is a predicted model, not a curated record. NCBI's taxonomy places the organism in Eukaryota, Metazoa, Chordata, Mammalia, Perissodactyla, Equidae.